Molecule: non-coding RNA, 21 nt
Filed under: Arabidopsis thaliana (thale cress)
Lineage: Eukaryota; Viridiplantae; Streptophyta; Magnoliopsida; Brassicales; Brassicaceae
Source: RNAcentral
UCCCAUUGAUUUUCACCGUGC